UUAGAGGAAGUAAAAGUCGUAACAAGGUAUCUGUAGGUGAACCUGCAGAUGGAUCAUUUUGAUGAAAAACCUUUUUUUUCUGAGGUGUGGCUCGCACCUGUCCAACUAAACCUGAGCUACCUUUUUUAUAUAACACGGUUGCAUCGGUCGGUCUGUCGAAACCAGUAGCGCUCAUAGCGAGCAGCGUCUGGGGAAAGACGGGUCGGCGCUUCUUACCAACACUUUUGAACACUAGGAUUGGAAGGACAAAAAUCAUUUUUUUGAUGAUGGAAGCGACUGGUAAUGCGGUCGUCUAAAUUGAAAAAACAACUUUUGGCAACGGAUCUCUUGGUUCUCCCAUCGAUGAAGAACGCAGCGAAUUGCGAUAAGUAAUGUGAAUUGCAGAAGUGAAUCAUCGAAUCUUUGAACGCACCUUGCGCUCCCGGCAGAUUUAAUCUGGGGAGCAUGCCUGUUUGAGGGCCGCGAAUUGUUUCGAACGACAGCUUUUUUUUCUUGUUGAGAAAGAGCUGGCGGAUCGGUAGUGAGGGUCUCUGCCAUUUACCGUGGCUCCCUCGAAAUGCAUUAGCGCAUCCAUUGGAAGGCGGAAAGACGGACGAAAGCUCGAGUUUUUUUGCCCUCGCUUCCCUGCCGGGUUUUGAUAAUGUCAGGACUUCGGAGGCGAAGAGAGGGCGGGAGCUGGACGCAACGACUUUUCUGCUGUUUGGCGUGCUUCUGAACCCCGCCCAUGCCUCUGCUUUAACCACAGAGGAAGGGAUUUAUUUUUCAAUUCAUCGGCCUCAGAUUGGUAGGGACUACCCCGUUGAACUUAAGCAUAUCA
This 817-nucleotide ribosomal RNA is filed under the name Pseudozyma prolifica. RNAcentral describes it as "eukaryotic LSU rRNA". The stretch from base 308 to 462 matches the Rfam family "5.8S ribosomal RNA". Lineage: Eukaryota; Fungi; Basidiomycota; Ustilaginomycetes; Ustilaginales; Ustilaginaceae. The record is from RNAcentral.